UGUAGAAAUUACGAAUGUUUUAUUGAAAGUGUGAACUUAAUAGAAUUAUGUAAAGAUUUGAUGAACUGUGCCAAGACUUACAUAUAACUCUGGCCCCUCGCUCUCUUCAGAUCUACUUCAGAAGAAAAUCAGAACAGAUCUUCUAUCACUUUUCAGGCAUUAAGAGUUUGUGAGAGAUUUGUACUUUCAGACUUGUAAGAAUCUCUUGAUGCAUUUUUCCAAUAGAGUUAGCUCAUAUGGUCAUGUUUCCUAUCUUGUGUACCUGGGAGAUUAGCCAGGCAACUGUCUUCUUGAGAAAUCCAUUCUUUCUGAUAAUCACUCUUUUUUUUUCCAAGGAGUUCAUACAUAAUCUCUUUGCUUCUCUGUUCAAUUUAUUUGUAAUCUUUUCUAAAAUGCUGUAAGGAACCUGCAUCUGCAGGAAUGAUGAUAGGAAGAUGAGGAUGGCUGUAUUAUCUUCUCAUCGUUCCUAUCACCCAUCUCCUCCCACUUCCGAAUGUAUGAUUGUAACUUGUUGCUGUAUCCUGACGAUUGAUUUGAUUUGUACCCUAUGACUAGCAUUAAAUGUUGUACCUUACGAUUCUUAGCGAAUGUAUCUUGUCUGUUUAGGUACACUGGGAGCAUAUGCACCAGACAAUUCCUUGUGUGUCCAAUCACCCUUGGCCAAUAAAGAAUUCUAUCUAUCUAUCUAUCUAUCUAUCUAUCUAUCUAUCUAUCUAUCUAUCUAUCUAUCUAUCUAUCUACCUACCUACCUACCUACCUACCUACCUACCUACCUACCUAUUAAUUCCUCCAUUCUUCAUAUAUCCACGAUUUUUAAGGAUGAUAAACUAUUCAUGGUAAAUUUUAUAAUAAAAUUUGUUCUAAAAUGUUCAUUACAUUUUUAUUCUAUUAUGUUUAUUAAAUUACUAUAAAACUGUGAUGAAGGAACUUUUGAGAGCUUCUUUGUUUAUUUGAUUAUAUUUUUCUUUAAUUCAGAUGGCUGCCAUAUUGGUGAAAAGUGACUAAAACUGACUGCUUAGUUUCUAGAAAAAGAGUGAAAUGAGAUGGAGGUGAGGUGAUGUCAUGAGAAUGCGUCCCUCAAACAAGAAUCUUUUGCUGCAGCUGAUGGGACAUGAAAGUGAAUUCUGUGUCAGAAAUUUUGCAACAAGCCUGUUUUUCAAGAUCCAAAGAGAUUGCUUGAGGCGGCUUUUCAGCACCAUGAACAAGUAUAGUACACCAGAGGUGGGGAAAAAAUUCCAAUCAUUCUGGUUGGACCUUGUGGGAAAUUCUACUCAAGCAUCAAGACCCAACAACCAGAGGGAAGCAACCACAAGUUUCAGUCUAUAACAGUGAUGGCGAAGCACUUCGGCAUGCGCGUUCCGCACAUGCGCUCCUCAAAACUGCAACCAGGAAGAGGAGCUGCCCAGGGAGCAUACAUGCACCGAACAAGGUGAAGAGCCCGCAAUGGAGGCAAUCAUUCCAAGGCAAGAGGGAAUCUGCGUAGCUCGUCUCAAUAGCCACACUGUUGGGAGGAAUCUCCCUGGAGGAUCGAACUCAGGUCACAUCUGGGUUGGGUUGCCUGAAUGCAGUGAGGUCCCAGGAGUUUCCAACCGCCUUCAUUCAUCGUCUUCUGUUACACACAAACUGUUCUAAUCAAAGAGAUUUAUUCCCCUUCCCCUUCAGCUGACAUCAACUAAAUAUAAAUUCCUCAUUAAUUGGAAUAAGUUUGAUUUUGUUGUUGGACAGGAGAUAACACAUUAGUGGCACCUUUUUAUUUAAGACACUGACGUGGAUACCCAUCUUAACAUAACAUAACAUAACAUCAGAGUUGGAAGGGACCUUGGAGGCCUUCUAGUCCAACCCCCUGCCCAGGCAGGAAACCCUAUACCAUCUCAGUCAGAUGGUUAUCCAACAUUUUCUUAAAAAUUUCCAGUGUUGGAGCAUUCACAACUUCUGAAGGCAAGUCGUUCCACUUAUUAAUUGUUCUAACUGUCAGGAAAUUUCUCCUUAGUUCUAAGUUGCUUCUUUCUUAUACCCAUCUUAUCACUGGGCAGGUCAGUGCAUAACAAUAAAAUAUAAAAACUAAUAAAAUGAUAACCACAAACUGUACACUGUACGGUACCAGCAAAACCAUUCUCCCAUCACACCUGGACUCGUUUCAAACUACCCCAUGCAUUUUUAACAUAAUGCCUCUGAAAAUAUUUAUGUGCCGUACUUCUACCAUACCAAAGGAAGGCAUGCCAACCUAAUUACAAAUCAUGUCCCUCUAUUAAUAGUAGUCUUUUAUUUUUCAAAUUUACCCAUUCAUUUCACCAUGUCACGGCUGACGCCUGGUAAUAUAAUUCCCAAUCUGGAAGUCCAAAGCCCCCAUUACAUCUGGAUUCCUAUAACAUUUUCAAUUUGAUUCUUUGUUUUUGCUUUGCCAAAUGUAUUUCAAAAUCAUUCUAUUUAAUUCAUUGAAAAUUUUCUUUUCUAAUUUUAUCAGUAUAGUUUGGAAUAGGAAAAGUACUUUUGGUAAUACGUUCAUUUUAACGACAGCUACUCUCCUUGUCAUAUUUAGUUGUAAAUUCUGUCACCUAAGUCCAAUUUAAUUUGUUGCAUUAAUUUUGUAUAAUUGUCAUCUUUGAUUGUCACACACCUUGCUGUUAGGUAGAUACCGAGAUAUUUAACCUUUUUUACUACCUGUAGGCCAAUUUUCUCUGUCAGUUCCUCUUUUUGUUUAUCUGUUAUGUUCUUAACUAAUACUUUGGUUUUCUCUUUGUUUAUUUUCAUCCCUGCCACCUCUCCAUAUUCCUCAGUUCUCAUCAAUUUGGGGCCAGUGUUACAGAUUGGUUUAAAGUCCAUUUUACUUUCCUCUUUUGUCCCUUCCAACUGAUUUUGAUUGGAUUGUGGUCAGCCCAUAAAUUUGUUUCUAUUUCAAUCUCUUGCACAUUCCCACUCAAUUCCUAGGUCAUCCAAACCAUAUCUAUUCUAGACCCAAGAUUGGUGCACGUUAGAAUAAAAUGUAUUCUGUUUCUGGUUCAUUUCUCUCCAAAUAUCUUGUAUCGACAGUUCUCUAUCAUUUUAGUAAGGGCUCUAGGUAGGGUCCUUCUUGUAUUCUUAUUUGUUUACUACUUUUAUAGUCCAGAUUUGCGUUGACUAUUGUAUUGAAAUCUCCCAUAAUACAAAUGCUUUCAUAUUUUGCUUUUAAUAUCUUUUUAUGAAGUUUUUUUGUAGAAUUCCUUUUGUCUUGAGUUUGGUGCAUAGAUAGCAACCAGGAGAAUCCGUUUUUUAUUUAAAAUCACCUCCAACAUCAGAACUAUCCCUUCUUCAUCUU
Ahaetulla prasina is the source of this 3295-nucleotide long non-coding RNA. RefSeq lists it as uncharacterized. Lineage: Eukaryota; Metazoa; Chordata; Lepidosauria; Squamata; Colubridae. The record is from RefSeq and is a predicted model, not a curated record. The transcript has 3 exons.